Oncorhynchus keta (chum salmon) is the source of this 1083-nucleotide long non-coding RNA. RefSeq lists it as uncharacterized. Lineage: Eukaryota; Metazoa; Chordata; Actinopteri; Salmoniformes; Salmonidae. The transcript has 3 exons. The record is from RefSeq and is a predicted model, not a curated record.
AGAGGAGAUGUGGGACCACAGGGGUUAGUUUACCACUCCUAAACUAAGUCCCAAAAUGGUACCAAAUAGAGAACAGGGUGACAUUUGGGAUGCACCCCCUACAUAGUGUGAGUGAUAUCAGUGUCACCGCUCGACUUGGGAUACUGCCCCCUGCUGGUCCAAAUGAGCCAUGUGCAUAGUGUUGCAUCAGAAAUGUGGUUUUAGAGCGCCCUUUUAAAGUGUUAAUAAUGCUCUCCUUUAUCUGUCGUUUUCAUUUAAUCCCAACGCCACAGGUGCUGAAUCGUGAGUGGAGUCAUUUUAAACCAGAUUCCACAAUCACUUGAGCCAUCUAAUAAAUGUGAAUGAUUCCUCUACUUCUGGGUGUAGAGACAAUGGCGAAUGAGUCAUUGCUUCAGGAUUUGGGGGGGAAAUGCAUAUCUUCAUAUCAAUGACAACUGAGCAGAGCACAUUAUACAGGUGGUCUGCAGAGUCAUAACUUAGCAACUUAUCUAACGGUUAAGACAGGGUUUCCCCAUCUCAGUCCUCGGGACCCCAAGGGGUGCAACGUUUUGGUUUUUGCCCUAGUACAACACAGCUGAUUCAAAUAAUCAACUAAUCAUCAACUAAUCAUCAAGCUUUGAUCAUUUGAAUCAGCCGUGUAGUAUUUAGAGGUCGACCGAUUAAAUCGGCAUGGCCGGUAUUUUUGGAAGCCGAUUAUGUCCGAUUACAUUGCACUCCACGAGGAGACUGCGUGGCAGGCUGACCACCUGUUAUGCGAGUGCAGCAAGGAGCCAAGAUCCACACAGCUGUCCAGUGGUACCCCUGACACCAGCUCCAUGGCCAGAACCCUCCUUCCUGAGAGCUCGUCCACCACAAAUGGCACGUGGAAAAAUGGGUCAUCCGCCAGAAGUGACCUGAGGCCAGAGGCAGACAGAGAUCAUUAAUCUCCUCAACAGGACUGAGCUGCCAAAGAUAAAUAAUCUACAAAUAAAACCUAAUCUAUUCAUGGGUUAUUGACUGAUACUAUUGAUGCUAUACUACUGAACCUGGAAACGCAGCCCGGUUCUCUUUGGAUGUCAAAGAGUAUGGGAUCCCUCACCUGGA